This 323-nucleotide small nuclear RNA is filed under the name Camelus ferus (Wild Bactrian camel). RNAcentral describes it as "7SK RNA". It matches the Rfam family "7SK RNA". Rfam says of the family: 7SK was discovered as an abundant small nuclear RNA in the mid-70s but a possible function has only recently been suggested. Two independent studies have found that 7SK RNA binds the CDK9/cyclin T complex (known as elongation factor P-TEFb). Lineage: Eukaryota; Metazoa; Chordata; Mammalia; Artiodactyla; Camelidae. The record is from Rfam by way of RNAcentral.
GGAUGUGAGGGCGAUCUGGCUGUGACAUCUGUCACCCCGUUGAUUGCCAGGGUUGAUUCAGCUGAUCUGGCUGGCUAGGCGGGUGUCCCCUUCCUCACCGCUCCUUGUGCAUCCCUCCCAACUCUGUGUGCUCGGUCAAAGAGGACAAUCAUCCUGGACAGAGGAGGACCGUUCUUCUCGGUCAAGGGUAUACAAGUAGCUGUGCUCCCUGACUAGAACCUCCAAACAAGCUCUCAGAAUGAACUGAAUGUUUAUAAGACUACUUUUAUAGUAAUUUUUCUCAUGAGAUCUUAUUAAAACACAUUUUGUUUAUGAAAACUGUU